UACAGAGGGGGCAAGCGUUGUUCGGAAUUACUGGGCGUAAAGGGCGCGUAGGCGGCCUUCUAAGUCGAACGUGAAAUCCCUGGGCUCAACCCAGGAACUGCGUCCGAUACUGGAAGGCUUGAAUCCGGGAGAGGGAUGCGGAAUUCCAGGUGUAGCGGUGAAAUGCGUAGAUAUCUGGAGGAACACCGGUGGCGAAGGCGGCAUCCUGGACCGACAUUGACGCUGAGGAGCGAAAGCCAGGGGAGCAAACGGG
Molecule: ribosomal RNA, 253 nt
Filed under: uncultured bacterium
Lineage: Bacteria
Description: partial 16S ribosomal RNA
Rfam family: Bacterial small subunit ribosomal RNA
Source: RNAcentral